This 874-nucleotide ribosomal RNA is filed under the name Microbacterium azadirachtae. RNAcentral's name for it is "bacterial SSU rRNA". It matches the Rfam family "Bacterial small subunit ribosomal RNA", at positions 78 to 963 of the family's 1533-position model. The record is from RNAcentral. Lineage: Bacteria; Bacillati; Actinomycetota; Actinomycetes; Micrococcales; Microbacteriaceae.
GCUUGCUGGGUGGAUUAGUGGCGAACGGGUGAGUAACACGUGAGCAACCUGCCCCUCACUCUGGGAUAAGCGCUGGAAACGGCGUCUAAUACUGGAUACGAGUCGCAACCGCAUGGUUAGUGACUGGAAAGAUUUUUUGGUGGGGGAUGGGCUCGCGGCCUAUCAGCUUGUUGGUGAGGUAAUGGCUCACCAAGGCGUCGACGGGUAGCCGGCCUGAGAGGGUGACCGGCCACACUGGGACUGAGACACGGCCCAGACUCCUACGGGAGGCAGCAGUGGGGAAUAUUGCACAAUGGGCGGAAGCCUGAUGCAGCAACGCCGCGUGAGGGAUGACGGCCUUCGGGUUGUAAACCUCUUUUAGCAGGGAAGAAGCGAAAGUGACGGUACCUGCAGAAAAAGCACCGGCUAACUACGUGCCAGCAGCCGCGGUAAUACGUAGGGUGCAAGCGUUAUCCGGAAUUAUUGGGCGUAAAGAGCUCGUAGGCGGUUUGUCGCGUCUGCUGUGAAAUCCCGAGGCUCAACCUCGGGCCUGCAGUGGGUACGGGCAGACUAGAGUGCGGUAGGGGAGAUUGGAAUUCCUGGUGUAGCGGUGGAAUGCGCAGAUAUCAGGAGGAACACCGAUGGCGAAGGCAGAUCUCUGGGCCGUAACUGACGCUGAGGAGCGAAAGGGUGGGGAGCAAACAGGCUUAGAUACCCUGGUAGUCCACCCCGUAAACGUUGGGAACUAGUUGUGGGGUCCUUUCCACGGAUUCCGUGACGCAGCUAACGCAUUAAGUUCCCCGCCUGGGGAGUACGGCCGCAAGGCUAAAACUCAAAGGAAUUGACGGGGACCCGCACAAGCGGCGGAGCAUGCGGAUUAAUUCGAUGCAACGCG